Molecule: non-coding RNA, 68 nt
Organism: Trichonephila clavipes
Lineage: Eukaryota; Metazoa; Arthropoda; Arachnida; Araneae; Nephilidae
Source: the annotation of a GenBank genome assembly
GCCCUACCGAGUAUGGUGGUUAUGACACUCGGCUUGUAAUCGAGUGGGUUCGAAUCCGGUGUAGGGCA